This is a long non-coding RNA of Lates calcarifer (barramundi perch), 1462 nucleotides long. RefSeq lists it as uncharacterized. The transcript has 3 exons. NCBI's taxonomy places the organism in Eukaryota, Metazoa, Chordata, Actinopteri, Centropomidae. The record is from RefSeq and is a predicted model, not a curated record.
UUUGUAGGAGUUUCCUCUGGUCGCAUAGCAACUCGCAGGUGACUCACAUUUUUAGCAUUUGACACCACUGAUGCACAAAAUGAUGCAUAUCUCCUUGAAAGGGCGCCGAGUUUCACAGACUCCCCAAAGUCACUGGCGAAAAUCAAAGAUUAAAAAAGAAUAAAUCAGCUGAGUGUAUAUGGUUGUUAGGCAGACACGUUUAAGCCAAUAGGCUGCUCUGUGUCUGUUAACUACUGCUUAGUCAUCAACCCUGCUGAACAUUCACCGACUGUGAUGCUCUUUUUCCAUCUCAGACCUGCUCUGUAUUUCAGAGCCUUGAAUGAGCUUACUGUUUGACUGCCAGCUUCUCCUCAGAGAGACAGACACAGAAAAAGUGUGUGUGUGUGUGUGUGUGUGUGUGUGUGUGUGAGAGAGAGAGAGAGAGAGAGAGAGAGAGAGAGAAAGAAAGAGAGAGAAAAGGGGAGAUUGGGUCUGCUGGCGUGGCUCGGAGGCAGUCACACAGCCCAGGCAAGGAUUUUAAGGAUAUGACCUUCCCGGUUUGAUGCUGCCAGGUUUCGGGGACAUGACCACAGCCUCCGCAACCUUUACAAGAAAAAGGAGGGACUGAAUGGAAGAAAAGCACAUUUGUCUUCUGCUCAUUCAAACCAAUGAGACGCUGUUUUGUGUUAUCCUGUCACAAGAUCAACCAUGUCAGCUUGGAUUACAAGUUCAGCUGUCUGUCAUAAGACUGUGGACAGCCGUACUUUUAACUACUUCAUGAAGCAGCGCGGCAGUUUCACGGAGGGACCGGCCUGAGAGAGACGGAGAGUCAGACCGUGAGAGAAACUAGACAACUCUGUUGCCGACCCAGCUGCUCCUGUCCAACCCUCCAUUCAGCAUGAGCAGCUAACCAGCCCUGGAGGGCAGCGGCACAUGGAGACAGCAGCGAGACAGAUGCACACCACAUCUGCUCAAAGUUUGCAAAGGAGACUGAGGACGGCAGGAAGUGCUGCUGCUGGUGGUUUCAGAGCCUCGGGUAAGAACAAAUGUUGAUGACUGUUUCCUUUCAGUGCCUCUGGACAUUGCAGUGACCUGCCUGAGCAGAUCAAUCAGGAAACCAGGAGCAAAAUACACUGUUUUAUGGAUUUGGGGUGCUAUCUGAGCAGCUCACCUAUUUCAGGGAUUAAGUUCCUUAAUGAAUCACCUGCCCUUCAUUGGUGUCAGUCAUGUACUUGCUUCCUUCCCUCUGGUGAGUACAUAUUUUAAAUACUCUUCUGUUAAAGCCCCUAUGUGUACAUUUUUAAGGUGAUUAUAAUAUCUUACAAAUCACUCACUUUUAUUCUAUUCAUUUUCAGGUUCCCAAGGUUGGAUCACUGGGUUGGGAGUGGGUCAUAUAUCACCAUGCAAUGUUUGACACAAACACUGAUGAGCGCCAAAGUCAGAAACGUUCAUCAUCUAGAGCUUUUCACAAGGUAAAUGAUCA